Long non-coding RNA from Ailuropoda melanoleuca (giant panda), 263 nucleotides. RefSeq lists it as uncharacterized. The record is from RefSeq and is a predicted model, not a curated record. The transcript has 3 exons. Lineage: Eukaryota; Metazoa; Chordata; Mammalia; Carnivora; Ursidae.
UUCGCCCAGGAAGAGAAUGCUUUACCUCACUCACGUCUGUGCUUUUGGGGAAAUUGAGGCACGGAGCUGAGAAGGAAUUUACUCGGGAUCAGAGGACCUGUCUUAAGAUAAAACGGAAACGAAAGGACACACAGAGACAAGAUGAUGUUCGCUUUGGAGAAGGAAUCAGAGGUCAAAAGAUGAACAAUGAUUUUUACCCUUUGGAAUUGUGUAGGCUCCACAUCCAGCAUGGAACCCAACAUGGGGCCUGAAUUCAUGAUCCU